Passer domesticus (house sparrow) is the source of this 435-nucleotide long non-coding RNA. RefSeq lists it as uncharacterized. NCBI's taxonomy places the organism in Eukaryota, Metazoa, Chordata, Aves, Passeriformes, Passeridae. The transcript has 3 exons. The record is from RefSeq and is a predicted model, not a curated record.
UGUCAGAUUUCAACUGCUUAUAGAAGAGGAAAAGAUAGUCUGUGAUGAACCCACUGUGGUGAGGAAGGAGAACAAAGGAGAGGAGAGAGCAUUUCUUGUUCAAUUCAGUAAUUGUAGAAGAACAGGGUUAAUUAGCCUGGAUACAGAACCUUUCCAAUGGAAGCACGUUUUCUUUGUUGACCCAGUCAAGUAUCUCUGUUUCAUGUUGUGGAACACUCACUACUCCUGCUGCCAAAGACUUCCCCAUGGAUAUGAGAAACAAGAAGUUCAGCUGUGCAGCUCUUGUGAGUGCAAAAAUAAUUUUAGCCUAAGCAGCUAAGGACUACAUAAACUCUCUUGGGGAUCCUGAUUGAAGAUAAGUACAUUCCUACAGUUACAUAAUUAAACCUUGAAGAGAGAAGAGAUUAUGAUUUACCCUGUCAUCUAUUGUAUGUG